RNAcentral lists this ribosomal RNA (265 nucleotides) under uncultured archaeon. RNAcentral describes it as "partial 16S ribosomal RNA". It matches the Rfam family "Archaeal small subunit ribosomal RNA", at positions 717 to 982 of the family's 1478-position model. The record is from RNAcentral.
ACACGACUACAUUAGAUACCCCGGUAGUCCCAGCCCUAAACGAUGCGCGUUAGGUGUAUCGGUGACCACGAGUCACCGAGGUGCCGAAGGGAAACCGUGAAACGUGCCGCCUGGGAAGUACGGUCGCGAGGCUGAAACUUAAAGGAAUUGGCGGGGGAGCACCACAACGGGUGGGGCCUGCGGUUUAAUUGGACUCAACGCCGGGAAGCUCACCGGAUAAGACAGCGGAAUGAUUGCCGGGCUGAAGACCCUGCAUGACCAGCUG